Molecule: ribosomal RNA, 468 nt
Filed under: uncultured bacterium
Lineage: Bacteria
Description: partial 16S ribosomal RNA
Rfam family: Bacterial small subunit ribosomal RNA
Source: RNAcentral
GACGAACGCUGGCGGCGUGCUUAACACAUGCAAGUCGAACGGAAAGGCCCGGCUCUUGUGGCGUGCUCGAUUGGCGAACGGGUGAGUAAAACGUGAGUAACCUGCCCUUGUCUUUGGGGUAACUUCAGGAAACUGGGGCUAAUACCGGAUAGGAGCUCCUGCUGCAUGGGGGUGGUUGGAAAGAUUCGGCGGUUGGGGCUGGACUCGCGGCUUAUCAGCUUGUUGGUGGGGUAGUGGCUGACCAAGGCUUUGACGGGUAGGCGGCCUUAGAGGGUGACCGGCCACAGUGGGACUAAGAUACGGACCAGACUCCUACGGGAGGCAGCAGUGGGGAAUAUUGCACAAUGGGCGGAAGCCUGAUGCAGCAACGCCGCGUGCGGGAUGACGGCCUUCGGGUUGUAAACCGCUUUCGCCUGUGACGAAGCGUGAGUGACGGUAAUGGGUAAAGAAGCACCGGCUAACUACGUG